Long non-coding RNA from Cavia porcellus (domestic guinea pig), 21118 nucleotides. RefSeq lists it as uncharacterized. The record is from RefSeq and is a predicted model, not a curated record. The transcript is spliced from 2 exons. NCBI's taxonomy places the organism in Eukaryota, Metazoa, Chordata, Mammalia, Rodentia, Caviidae.
UUUUUUUUUUUUUGUACCAAGGAUCGAACUCACAACCUUGCGCUUGUCAGGCAGGCUGUUAUGCCGCUGAACUAAAUCCCUGACCCCAUGUGAAUUAUUUUUAUAAAAUAGAUUUCUUUUCAGAUUUUUCUUUAAAUUUUGAAAUAAUAAUGUUUUAGAAUACAAAAAUAUUAGAUUUUCAAAGUCUGACAAAUCUCCGUCUUGGAAGCUGAUUCAAAGUAGUGUCAAACCUUUUGUUGAUAGCCUGAUGUCUAAGGUGUAGAUUUCUAUAUCCCGUCACAUGUGUUUAGUCACCUCUAAUCCCAGUGUUGCCAAGCACUAAGCAACUCAAAUAGCACUAUUUUGGGUUUUUUCUUUUUUGUCUAGUCCCCAUGCUUCAAUAUACCUCCUGUUUUUCAUCUCUUAAAUAAAUUACCUAUAGUAAUUUAUUUAAUUUAUUUAUUAAUCCAGUUUCUUAAUUUUAGGACAACUGAAACUAAUUUUAAAUUAUUUGAAAACAUUCAUUACUACAUUUUCAUCUUUUUCAUAUACAGUUCACUUAUUAAAACCCAGCAAUAACAAGUGGAUCAUAUUUCUUUGAUGGUUUGUUUUGCAGGAUAUUCUUUUUUUCUUUCAGGAAUUCUGUUUCACAGGGUUUAGGGGCUACUUUAGAGCUAUAUCAAGAAACUGUUGAUCUGACACUUGUCAUUAUAAGUUUCAUUUACUGGAAAAAUUUUCUUUAUCUUCAAGGUGAAAAAUAGGGCAUUGAGGAAAAUCUCCCUAAGGUUACCAGUGGACUAGCAGCAUCACAGCCCUCUUUUUCUCAUUCAGUGAAGAAAGUAUAUUAGAUAUAUCUUCUCAAACCUUUUCUCUUCUCCAUUGCGCUGAUUUAUUUGCUAUUAUGUGAGGAAGAAAACUACUUAUAAAAUGCAGAAAAAAGAACUAAUAAAUUUAUUUUUCUUUAUGGUUCACAAAUCCUAAGUCUGAAUAUCUGGUAUCAAAUGAGUUUUAUCGAUUAAAAUUGACUGACUGACGAUAGGCAUGUGUUUGGAAAUUCAUAAACAUUAAGUUUGUAGAGAUAAAAAGUGAAACUUGUGGCUUUGAAUUAUCACUGAAAUGUAUUCUACAGUUUUAUGCAAAUAACUGUACCUCCUUUCUAUGGUCAAGCUCUAAGAUGCCUAUGUGUGUGUAUGCUGGGAAAGAUAUCUGCUUCCUAAAGUGCUUUGUUAACACCAUAAUUUUAAAUUAAGUUUUCCAGAAAGCUGAUCCUGCUGUACAUUUUGGCAUCUAAGAUUAGGUCAUGGCCAUAAAUCUUGUUUACGUACUUAAUGCAAAGGAGAUACUGCUGUCUUGGGAAUCAUGUGAGCCAGAUUCUUUAUUUUGCUCCUCUUACAAGAUAUUGACAUAUAAAACAAAAUGCUCCCAUUUUGUUUUGCAUCUUUCUUCAUUUAAAACUUUAAAUAAAGAAUGUUUAUGCAUGGUUCUUUUUCAUUCAUAAAAGUGGAAAUCACUCUUAGUGUCUGCAUGAGUAGGCUUGUAUUCUUGUUCACGAAUUUGUAUGAUAGAUUGGCCCAUAAAAUCUUUAUGUUUGGCUUGUGCAGCUGAGUUCAUGUCUGAAUAGGGAAUGACAAAGAAGCUUUAGCAUUUUGUAGAAAUCAAAAAAACCAUGCCUUCUAGAUGGCCCUUAAGCUAGCUUUUAACUUCCUAGAAAUCAGCCAGAAAUGUAUAAUCAAAUUUACCAUUAAUGGCACAGCAUAGCAUAAAUCUUUGGGAUAUAAUCUAUAAGUUAAUGCAAAUGUAUUCUUCAAUAUGUAUUUGAUUUUCAUUAUAUUUGCAUGGAAGCCUGCCAGUUCAGACAGACAUAUUUUUACCUUUCAAUCUAUCAGAAGUUAAAAGAAAAAUGAUGGAUUGUGUCACUGACCAGUCCAACAGCCUAUUUCUUCAACGUAUCACUCUGUAUUUACUAUUUUCACUAUAUUGUUUUCAAUUUCUGGCAAAAUAGUCAGUUUUUGAUCCUGGGUAGAAAAUGUCAGUGCUCAUAUUUUAUGGGGUUUUGGUCUUUUUGUGAAAUGUAGGAGAGCAUUCAAUGAAUUAUGAUAUUGUCACCUGAAGUGUGUUUCUUUGCCAAAUUUUAGCAAGAAUAGAACUGAUCAUUUGCAUGUACAAGUCUUUUCUUGAACCCUAACAGCAGUUCCCUCAGCCUUCUGCCAGUUCUCUCUCAUGCUGUGAGACUGUAGUACAAACAAAUCUUUUUAACCUUCCCUUUUCAAGGUUAAUAGAGUUAAUAACCCCAAGGAAUAUACAUUUUUCCAGAGGAAUUUAGAAGCCUAAAUUUAGAAACUUAGGAGUUUAGAAUUUCAUCACUGAAAUUCUAAAUAAUCUUAAAAUAAAUUGUUUCUUAUUGCAAAUAUUUUAAGAAGAAUGCGUAUCUUGUACUACUACUUCAUGAAAAUGAACACUGCUCAUCUUCAAUAUUUUCCUUACAUUCUAUACAAAAAUAAGUAUUUAUAGGUAACAUUUGUGUAUUGUAACCUUAUAAAUCAGUAUGUCUUCAAGUUGUAAUUACUAAUGUAUUUUAUGGUCAUCUGAUACUACGCCAUGUUUCAGUAUUCCUCAAUAAUCAUGAGUUUAUAUUUUCAAUGUUUUUUGACAACCUAUAUGGACAAGUUAUAAGAAGCAAAUCUUAACAUUAAAGAUUGUGAUUUAAUAAGGAUUCUUCAGCUUAAGUUUUUAGUAAUCCUUUUGCAAUACUAGUUUCAAAUGACUUUUUAAAAAUUUUUUCAUGGUAUAAUAUUGUCUGUUUAGUUACAUGCUUCUCUUACAACUUUUUUUGACCAGCUGUGUCUUAGAUGUCUUCUUUCUAUAACAUUUAUUUAGUAAUACAUUUUUAGUGCCUACUCUAUAUCAAAUACAGUCCUACACGCUAGCUUUCCUACAGAGAAUAAAAUGUACUUACUUCCUGCAAUUAACAACUUUAGGUACUUAUGAGAAAAAUGCAUAUGUGUAUAUAUUGAUAUGUAUUAUAAAAUGCAUGUAUAUUAACAUAUAUUAGAGAAGUGCAUGUAUAUAUUAGGUAGAGGGAAAGAGACAAAGAGGCAAACAGAUAGGGAUGCAUCCAAUUUUGGAUUUCUGGAUUGCAAGUGUCUAGGUAAUUACCAAGUAAAGACAGAAGAAAGGAGGAGAAAAAUGACAGUAAUUGUCAUGGACAGUAAAUGGCAUUUUAAGGCCUAGAAGCAAGAGUAUAAUCAUACAAAGAACCAGAAAAUAGUUGCAGAAAGGUGCGAGAGAACAUUAUUAUAUAAGUCCACCCUUCAAGUCAUACAGUGUGUCUGAAUUUUAUGUGUUGUAUGUUGUGCCUAUUUGAAAUAAAGAACUAAGAAAUAGGCCCUGCUUUCAGAGUUUGACAGCUACUGUAAAUAGUGUAUCUCCCCCUGCCUUUGGUACUAGAAAUGAACCCAGGAACUUUCCACUGGUCCACAUCCAUAGCCAUAUUUUACUUUGUUUUGGAAUUGGGUCUUGCAAGAUUGUAUUUGAUUUGGGAGAGUUAAUUUUAGGAAGCUUUUAUCACCUAUACUGCAGACCUAUGCUGCAGACUUGUGACCCUCCUGCAUUUGCCUCACAGAAAGCUGAGAUUACAGGCAUUCACUCUCCAGCUAUGUAAUUUAUAGUUAAGGAUUAAGGUGGAGAUUUUUUUAGGAAAAAUUGAGUUUUAUGGACCAAGUAAUUGUACUUUUAAUCCAGAACUCUCCCAUUCAUCUUACCUGCCUUAGCUACAUUAAAGCAGGUGCUCACAAACUGUUAUAGGUAUGUUUCUCCCCAGAUGCAAUAACCACUACCUUUUCACAAAGAGGUAAUUUAGAGAUAAUUUUCCUUUUUCACAUAUAUUUGACUUAGUUCAUCCAAGUGUGUGGUGGUUGUGGUAGUUCAUGUGACAAUGAGACCUGAUUAGUCUCCUAAGUCAUAAGGAAGUUUAAAUGAACAUGUAGUCAUUGUACCAUGCUGCCAUACAGCUGAGAAGGUCCUCAAAGGCCUUUGGGCAGGAAUUGAGCAGUUAAAGCAUGAAAUGGCCUAGGUAUAAGAAGCUAAAUUAUGAUGUGGCAAAGUAGAGAGAUAAAUGAAAGAGAGCAUACUGAAUUGGAAGUCAUUCAAAGUACUAGACUGUAUUCAUCUAAUUAAGCACAAGUUUAAGAUUCCUGGAUCCAUUUGCCUGUCUUACUUCCUUGAUAAAGAAACUAUGGGCUAAAAAGUUGCCCAGCAAGUGGACAGAAAAGAAGGGACCACAAGUUAUGACUUUACAUGAAUAACCAUUUAAAAGGCUACCUGGAGAUUUCCGUUAGUAUUUUUGGAAAGUAAUAUUAUAUUUGAUUUUGGAGAAUUAAUUUUAGGAAGCUUUUAUCACCUAUACUAUACUUGCUAAGCAACAACUAAAAUUUGUAAUGCUGCCAAAAUUGCAAUGUCUUGAUUAGCAAUACAAAGAAAAUGUACACUUCGUAUAGGUUCCAGAACAUGAGAUUGGUGAGGGGGUAGGGUUAGGGAUUGAACCCAGGGCCUCAGGCGUGCAAGGCAAGCACACUAUCACCCAGUCAGAAUACAGUAUGUGAGUGAUUAAAACAAGUGAUUAAUCUUCCUUAUAUGGAAGUCUUAGAUAUUCUUUAUGGCCUUUGCACUUUCAGUUUAGUCUCCUGGGAUUAUGCUUCUCUGAGACACAUUUUUAGUUCACUGUUUCAUUCUCCUAAGCGAAGUGUUAACUUCUCAGUGAGUUCUUCCCUGGCUACUCUGUCCGCGUUUACUUCCUUUUAUUUCUUAUACUUCCUAUACUGAAGCAGUUUCUUUUUCUAAAAUGUCUCUUUAAUAUGUAUCUAUAUCUAGGAUGGAAUAUAUUUUAAGUAAAUUUUGCUUAUUCUCUGUGAUCCUAAGCUAGAAGAUUGAUCCUUAGAGGGAUGGAAGGGAAGCAGAGAAAAUUCUGAGAUGCUGAAAGUGUUCAAUAAAUAUCUAUUGAAUAUUACAUAAAAUAUUUUGCCACAAGAUUAGUUUCAAAAUAAAUUUUAAAAUGAUUGAUAACUUAUGUAUAAUAUUUCCAUUUAUAUAAUUUUCAAAGACCAUUUAAUUAUAAUACAUGGUUGAUGUAUAUUUGAUAAAGCAGGAUCAAUUUUAUUUGAUUAUUUUCUUUUUUAUUUUUAGAGAAGAAACAAAAACAAUAUCACAAGAUCUCAAAACAAAUAGUACAAGAGUAACAAGGAAUAGUAUAUUGCGUAUUGUUGUCCUUAAAUUAGGUACAGAGAUUACACAAAAUAAGCAUGAAAGUUGUUCAAACAAUGUAAGCACAAACCUUUCUUUGCAAUGAACUAAUAAAAAUUAGUAGUAAAAGUAUCUUAACUAUCAUAUAUUAGUAUAUAAUUAUAUAUGGUAUAACUCAUAUAUUUAUAUGUGAUAUAACUAUUAUAUUUAUAGAUGAUAGUUAUGAAAUGAUAUAUUAAUAUAUUUAUAUUUCUUUUUUCAUUUCUACCAUUACAGUUUCUCUUUCCUUUUGAAUCGUUUCUUCCCAUUUCAGAGUAUCCAUUGUGCAUUUUGGAUCUUAAUUGCUCUAUCAGCUUCUUAUACUAGGAAGACAGUACAGGGUUUAGGCAUGCAAAUCUAAUUUAUUUCACUUGUGAGUAUGGUCUCAAAUUGCAUCCAUUUAUUUAUAAAAGUCUCAAAUUUAUCCUGCUUUAUAGCUGACUAGUACUCCAUUGUAUAAAAAUACCAUACCUUAGUCUGGGAACCAGUGCCAUGCACAGGCCAUCACUGGAUCAGCAACAGCCAGACCUAAACCUCUCCCUGUGAGUCAGCACCAUUUGCAGACUGAGAGGAGAAAGGACAAGGCCACACCAGCAAACAAACUCAGUCCAGAAACCAGAAUCAUGUAUGAGCCACCACUGGAAAAGCCAGAACCCAGUCCCCUCUGGCACAUGGGCUGGGAAAAAAGGACUACCAAUCAUCCCUUCCCCACUCAGCAUAAGUAACUGGCUUAUCCAGAGAAACACAGGUUGUGAUGAUAGCUAUGGAGAUGAAAUGCAAUUGGAUGCCUCUGGUGCUUUGGUGUUACACUAACAUUGCAGGUCUAGGGCCAGUGGUCUGAGCAUAGGUUCAGAGAAUAGCAGUACACGGUGUGACAUCUAAGGGAGAUCUCCUAAAGAUUGCAGCCUUUGUUGCUUCCCUAUAAUCUUGUUUGGAAGUCCUGUAUCAUUUCCAUUGGUUUGUUGGGUUGGAUUUGAUUCUCUUUUGUCUUGUUUGAUUAUGUUAAAUCCAGUGGAAGGAGCAUAUUUAUUUCAAAGAUAGCAAAAUCUAUUAUGGUAGUGAUUUUGGAUUUACUAUCGGCUUGUUUUGAAAUCUGUUAGAGACCACUACGAAGCAGCUCUGAGCAGGAUUUAAAUUUUACUAAUUGGCUUUCUAUGUUUAUCUGUGAGUCUGUCCUAGGCCUAGGUCCCUUGCCUGGUGAUGGGAGCUGAUUCAUAGUAAGUGACUGGUCCUGGCUGAGGCCUGUAGUAGCCUGUGAGGCCAGAGAUACCUAAAAGGGCAAGACAAGGCCACAGCUGCGGACACUUAGCUCCAACCCCAAUUAACUAGGUAGAGACUGCAGUUGCAAAGAUUACUCCUACAGUCUCACUUCUACCAUGUCUUCCUGAUAAGACAGUGCUACUGAAUUGACUUGAUUCUUUACUUGGAGACGUCCUUGAAGUGACUCCCAAGGUUCUGCUCAUUGCCUGCACUUUCCUCAGUCUCUCUGCCCUUUGUCCUUGGUCCUAAUAUAAGUGGACUGAUCCAGAGAAUCCUUUGUCUUUACCCUUGAAGACUUGAGCUUAAUUAAAGAGUUUUGAUUCUCCUGGAGCCCUAAAAAUCAUACAAUUUGUGUCUUUUAAUUUAACCUCCACCGUACACUCAUUUGAGAGAUUGGGGAUCUAAGACGAAACCCGAUAGAAAUCCUUUACUGCAUUCAUUGUUUUCUUUUUAUUGUUUCUAUUCUUGUCUGUUCUGUUUGAUUUUUACUAUGUCUGAAGUUAUCUGCAGCUAUUUGAAGACAUCAAAUGGCAUUAUAGUAACUAUUAUUGAUUUUGUAAUGUUUUGAAGUCCUGAAUCUCUUACACUGGGUUGUUUUAUUGGUUUUAUUCUAUUUUAUUCUCUUUAAAAUAAAAUUUUAAAGAAAUACCAUCCUUUUAAACAUUCCUCAAUUGAUGGGCAUCUUGAUUGUUUACAAGAUUUAGCUAUUACAAAUUAUGCUGUUAUAAACAUGGGUGCAUACAUGUCACUGGUAUAAUGUUUUUAAUUCUUUUAGUAAGGCACCCAGAAGGAGAAUAACUGGGUCAAAUGGGAUCUCCAAUCCUAGUUUUUUGAGGAAUCUUCACUCUGAUUUCCAUAGUAGAUGCACCAGUUUAUACUCCCACCAACAGUAGAGAAGGGUUCCUUUUUCUCCACAACCCCUGCAGCAUUUUUAUUGGUUGAUAAUUGUUCAACCAGAUCUGCCAUGGGAAGUGUGCUGGAUAUGGAGCCGAUCUUGGCCUCUGGAUGUGGGGGCUGGGACUGGUCUGCAAAAACCAACUGCUGACUCCUUUCUGCUGCCUCAGACACUUCCACAUUGCAGGUCUCUCUGCCUAUUCUGCCUGCCUGCCCAAGGUGUGUGUGCCCGCACACCCUGCAUCUGGUUGUCAAGGAUCUCAUUUGGGUGUCUAGUUGCUCUGCCCGUCAAAUACAUGUGUUUGAUUAUUCUCAGGAGUAAUGAUAAAAUAUUUGUUAGUAAAAAUCUGAACUAAAAGUCUCAAUCUUAAUGUUUUCCACACCAUUAUGUAUGGAUAUGAAUGUAACAGUGCUAUAGAAAAGUAAGCAGUAAGAAAGUAAAAAUGAAAAAUAGUGUAAAUCUAUAUGUGUUCUACUUUUAAAGAUGUAAUUUUCUAAAAGUAAUAGUGCCAAUCUCCAUUUCAUUCAGCAGAGUAUGGCUCUUGUUCUAUAUUCUUGUCAAUACUUUUUAAAAAGUGUAUAUAUUCUAGUUGGUAUGUUGUGAUAUCUUAUUUUUAUUUUAAUAUAUAACUUUUCCAAUUACUAAGGAGAUUGAACAUCUUUCCAUAUGUGUCAGUCAUUUUGAUGCCAGUUUUCAUAAAAUGUCAGUUUUUCUAUUGUGUCAUACAUUCUUUAAUUGAUAUAUAAGAUUCCUUUAUAAUUUGUAGAUCUGAGACCUUUGUCAAGUGUGUAUUGGAAAUACUUUCUCUGAGUUUAUUGCUUGCUUUUUAAUUCUCUUAAUAAUAUCUUUUAUGACCAAAAUUUGUUAGUUUAGCAUAGUGCAAUUUAUUACUUUUUCAUAUGAUUAGUACUUUUAAUAUCUUAGGCGAAUUUUUACAAGUCCAAGGCUAUGAAGGAAUAUUAUGGUAUUUUCUAGAAGGCUUGUUUCCCAAUUAGUUCCACAGUUGAUUUCUGUAUAUUGGGUGAGCCAAGGUUCAAAUUUUAUGUUUUUCAUAUGAAUAUACAAAGAGACCAACAAUAUUAACUGAACGAGUAACUUUAUUCAAAUGUGGCAGUAACUACACAGCUUUUUGAAAGCUACCAACUUUGAGAGCAAAGCAAUGCUGAGCAAGUCACCUCUACUGUUCAGAACUGGAAAUUUGAUGGCAUUGCGUUUUCACUCAAAAUAAAGUAUCCUAAGAAAAAAAAGAAAGAAAGAAAAUGUUUCUCCUCUUUCCCCAAGUAGAAUAUUCUCUUGGCUUGAGUUCCACAAAUAUGUUCACUGAAACAAAACCAAGUAUUUCAGACCAGACAUAGAACUAAAAUUGUAACAAAGAUGAUUCAAAGGCCUUCAUAGAAAGAUGGCAGGUCUACAGCUUCUUAUAUCUUAAUAACAUCAACUUUUAAAAUAUUUUAAAAUUUUAAAAUAUUUUCAAAUAUUUCUUUUGACCUUAACUUUAAAAAUCUGGUUACUUCAUCUCUUCACUGUAUAAAAUUUCAGAAGGGAGGGUUUUAAAUGCUUCUCAAAUUCAAAUGUGAGCAUUGUCUUCAUUAUUUUUUCAUUUGUUAUUUAAAUUAUAUUUUAAUAAUAAUUACAUUUUUAAAACAGUGAAAAGCCAUGUUUAAAAUACCUUGGUACCAAGAAGCAAGCCCUGCCUGCACACUAGUGCUAUGCACAAGCCUCUGGUGCCAGUAGGACAGACAGACUCCAGUCUUUUCCCAUGAGUCAGUGCCAUGGGAAAAAUCAAUGUAGGGGAGAGAACAAGAAGUCACCAAGAAGCAAACCCUUCUUAUGAGUCAGUGCCACAUGUGGGCUGCCACCAUCAGGGGAAGAACCAUACCUCAGCCCAUUCCAGCGUGUGGGCUGGAAGACAAGAUAUACCACAUACCCACCCACCCAGCACCACCAUAAGUGAAGUGCUGAUCUGGAAAAACACAGGCUGUGACAAUAGCUAUUGAGGUGAAAUGCAAUUCGAUGCUUGUGGUGUUUGGUGUUUCACUGACUUUGCAGGUCUAGGGCUGGUGGUCUGAUCAUCUAUUCAGAGGAUAACCAUACACAGUGUGGCAUAUAUGGGAGAUCUUCUUCUGAAGGUGGUAGUCAUUGUUAACUCCCUAUUAUCUUGUAUUGAAGUCCUGUAUCAUUUUCAUUGUUUUGUUGCGUUGGGUUGUUUUUUUUUUUUUUUGUCUUAUUUGAUUUUGUUAUAUCUGAUUGCAUGGGCAGCUAUUUCAAAGAUAGCAAGAUAUAUUUUGGUAACCAUUUUGGAUUUGCUGUUGUCUUGUUUUUAAGUCUUUUAUUGCAUUCAUUUUUUUUUUGAUUUAUUGCUUCUAUUCUGUUCUGUUUUGUUUGAUUUUUCCUAUGUCUGAAGCAAUCUGCAGCUAUUUUGAAGACAAGAUUUUGUAUUGUUUUGAAGUCAUGUGUCACUUACACUGGUUUGUUUUGAUUGGCUUUUUUCUAUUUUGUUUGGUUUUAUUCUCUUUAAAAAAAUAAAGACAUUGGUAAAUUCAUUCUAGAAACUCUAGAGUUUUUCAUUUUUUUAAAAAAUAAAAUUUACUAUCAAGUAAUUAUAAGCUGGGAUUGACAUGCUGUUCAUAGUCAUGAAAUAAUAGUUUAGCAUAAAAGGACAAGUUAUUCUCUGAAUUAAUAAAAAAUACAGCUUAAUCAAUUUUGACAAAGUCAUCACACCUCUGUACCUAUUACCCAGUUUGAGAAAUAAAACAUUAUGAAGGUUGUAGAAGUCUCUCUUCUACUUUGUAAUAGUGCCUAGCACUAUUCCUUUUCCCUUUCUAGAAAGUAGCCAUAUUUUUCUUACUAAAAAUUGAUUAGUUCAAUUUGUAUAUGCUAUAUUCAUGACAAUAUUUGGUAUUUAUUCCUGUGUAUUCUGUUGUGCCUGACUUCUUUCACUUUAUUUCAAUCAGUGUUAUGGCUAUAAAUUCAUCGUGUUGUUGGAUGAGCAAAUUUUUUCUGUUGUUCUUUUUCCUAAAGAUUAUUUGAUUUAUGGAUAUACUACCAAAUAGUUAUCUAUUCUAUGCCAUACAUUUAGAUAUUAGUGGCUAAUAAUGCUAUUAUGAAUAUUCUGUUUAAAUCUAUAGUGCAAAUAUCUAUGCUUUUUUUUGAGUAGAUUUAGUGACUUUUCUAAGGUGAUAAAAACAUUGGCCAUUCAUAUCCACUGUGUAUUAGAUUUCCAGUUGCUUCAUAGCCUCACUCAAACUUUAAAUAUUGCCAACUUUUUAAAUAUCUGUCAUCCCAGUAAAUAUGUAAGGCUAUUUUGUGUUUUUAAUUUACAGUUCUCUGAGAUUGGUAAGGGUUGGUAUUUUAAAUAUGAGCUCUUGGUCAUUCAUGUAUAUUGUAGUAUAUCUUCCCUACUGUGGCUUUUAUUUUUUUCCUAUUAAUGAUAUCUUUUUAUAAAUAAUUUAUUCCUUUUGUUUCUUGGUAUUUAUAGUUAACUAUUUAUGUAUCUUAUUUGAGAAAAAUCUUUCCUAUCUUGAGAUCACAGAGACCAUCUUAUCUUUCAAAACUGUACCUUUCACAUUUAAAAUAUGGACAUGAGCAUUUCCUUAAGUUAUCCUUCAAAAAGAUGAGCCAAUUCAUAUGCCAACUAAAAUAUGCACAAGAAUUAACUUCUUUACACACUUUCCAAAACUUACUCAAAUUGGUUAUUAUUAAAAUUUUUAUUUUUUGCCAUUAUUAUAACUGAAUUAGAACUUUUAUUGCUGUUCAAAUUUAUGAUAUAUUUCAGACAUAUAUAAGUAAUAAAGAUUAUCAUUACAAAGAAUAUUAAAAUACCCAUUUAUCAAAAUCCAUUAUUAAUAUCUAAAAAUAAAAUUACAUUGGUUGGGGAAAAUCACCUAGUUUAAAAUUCUUCACAUUGAAAAAGCAUGAACCUAACUAUGCUAAUGGAAUAAUGGAAAAAUGUUCUCCAAAGCACUAAGUCUAUAGAGGGUAUCAUGGUGCUCCUGCAAUAGCAUUUCUUAGUACAUGUAUACACUAUAUAAGUACAUAUAUACACUAUAUAAGAUUAUUAAAAGAAAAAGAGACCAAUAGCUGUAACAAACAACCUUCAGUCACUCAGAAGCUGUGGAUAAUAGUGGGAUUUUCAGUGUAUCUUAUAUGUGCUCCUGUUUGGAGAGUAUUUGCAUGUUAGCAGGAUGCCUACUAUUCUUAGAAUAUUAGUGCAAAGUUAGUUAAUGCAUGCCAAACAUCAGGAGUAGAAACUAAAGGUGAACAGAAUGCCCAUCCCAACUAUGAUUACAAAGCAAGCACAGUGGUCUGACACUGCCAUCUGAUAGGGUAGGAAACCUACACAUCCUUCUUAGGGAGUAGCUUUGGACUGGGAAACUUACAUUCCCGAGAAGAUACAAAUGAUUUAACGUGAGUCCAAAUUCAAGAUAUUGCUUCUACUAUUGGAUACUGUUUUAAUCUCAGGUAAGAAUGAAAGAAGUUUGUAAUUCUCUUUAUUACUUCUAGACCAGACAAAGUUAUGAAAGGAUUCUGAAAUAGAAAUUUCACAUUCUUUGCUUGUUAGUAUUGUCUUCUAUCUCACCAUUAUAAAUGCUAGUGGGUGGAAUAUUUUUCGGAGAAUGACCAAACAGAAACAGGAAAAGCUCAUCUCAGCUGAUAUGGCCACUUAACCAAUUAUACUUUAACUUGAAAAAAUAGAAGUCUUUCUUGAAAAAAUAGACUAUACAAAGUUUGAAACUCAAAAACCUUUGUAAUGCAAUAACUCAAUUGUUCAUAAUUCUUGCGUCAGGGAAGUUCUUUACAAAUGAAAAAAAUUUUAUUACUAAAUCUUUAAUAUAUGCUUAAGGAUUUUCCCUUUAACUUUUUGUUAUUGGUUCAUCUUUAAGUAUAAUGUGCGUGUCAGGAUAUCUUACUUUAGGAUAAUUUUUUGUUUUUCCUACUAUUUAAAUAAAAAAUAUAACCCAUGAAUUUUGAAUAAGUUAUUUUAAUAUUCUCUAAAAGAAAUGCAUCUGAUAUCCUAAGAAUGGCUGCUAGUUUAGUCAAAUUGGUUAUUUUGUGACUUUGAUUUUUAGUACAUAAGAAUAAAAUAAUGUUAACUUAUAAAAACAACCUGACAUUCUAAGUGGAACUUUUAUUUUGCUUUCAGGUUUUUUUUAUUCUAAACAUGUAAUAUAUAUUAAAUCACUUUAUCUAUUUUAUUGAUAGUAUUGCUCAGUCAUCUUCUAAUCCUUCUUUGUAAUUCUCAGUUGUAGCUGGAACGCCUUAAAAGGAAGCUAGUUUCUUUGAAAUUCCUUAACAUUUGACUCUUGUAAAGUUAAUGAUCAUAUAAGGAUUAAAUUCAUUCCAAGAAUUUUACUGCUCUUUACUAUUUUAUUACUGUUGCUUAGUCUCAUCAGAUGUGGUUUUUCUGGGUUUUUUUAUAAUGUUAAAUUCUUCUAGUUUAUUCAUUCUAUAAAAUUUAUCUUAGUUGUUGUCUAGUGCUUAAGAGAAAGAAAUAAUAUCUACAAAGCAAUCAGCAGCCCUAAGAAAACAAGAUUUUUCUUAACUAUAGUUCUUCAAAGUAUCUUCUAAAGUAGGUUUAACUGGACAGUAUUGAAAUCUUUAACCUUAAGAAGGUGAAGUGAGAGGAUCAUAAAUUUGAGAUCAAUAUAGGCAGUCUUAUCUCAAUAAUAAUUUGUUCGUAGAGUUGUAAUUGUCCUAAACUUAUGAAUUUGUCUUUUUCUCCUGCACCUAUAAUAAAUAUAAAUGAUUUGAAUUGAAAUACAUCAUUUUGGUCCAUCUCUAUAUGACUUCCCAGCUAUUCCCAGCUAUUAUAACUUCUCUCUAUAUAACUUCCCAGUUAUUAAUUCAGCAUAUGUGACCAUGUGAAAAGAGUAUACUAGUUUUAUGUUCAAGUCCUGCCUACCUGCAAAGUCAUAAAUGACAGUAUUAUUUGAAGAGAAAGUUGCCUGAACAACAGGCAUUUUUUGAUUAUUUCGUAUAAUCCUCUAUCAAAGUCAUGCUAUCACUAUCUGUAUCAUGCUAUUCAUGUUCUCUCCCAGUGUAGAAUGGUUGUUUUUGUCAUACUCGUGUGGGUUUUAUCUUCCUAAACUGUAUAGUCACAGAUUUCUUUUAACCUUCUGUCUUAUUUUACCUAUUUUUAGCUUUGCUUGAUAGCCAUUGUAAGUAAUUUCCAUAUGGGGAUACAUGUUAUAGACUGAAGGAGUAAAAGGAAGUUUUAAGAAGUAAAAGGAUUCUGGGAAAUGAGGAGUGGAAAGCAAACAUUGACAGUGGGUGACAAUUAGGUAAAUACGAAAUUUCUCAAACUAGUAGAUUUCUUCUCUUAGUCUUUCAAUUCACCUCUAUACCGCCAGUCUACACUCAGUUUCAAAUGUUCUUCUUUGCCUUAUCCUCAAAAUAAAUGACUUUAGAUGUAGUUUUAAAAAGCCCAGUACUACGCAAGUUUUUGUUUUGCUUAUACAAGACUAGCCAAAAAAUUUACUAAUAUUGUUUUUCCAAUUAUGUGAGCCUAUUUAUCCUUAAAGUUAAAAGAAAGAAGAAGAAAACAGUUUUUGUUUUGAAAUAACAAACUACUUAAAAUUCCAGUAACUUCACAGAAAAGUCAACUUUAUAGGAAGUUUUCUAGAAACAGAUAUUCAUGUAAUUUUGAUCCAAAACACUAUACUAGGAAGAUAUAUUUUCAAACAAAAGAAAAAACAAAGAGCUUUUCUUGCCAAGAAUAAAUGUAAAAAUAUUUCUCCCAUAGAAAAACUAAAGGUUCAUCAUAAGUAAACAAAUCAUUUGCUAAUGAGAAUGUACUCUUUCAAUUAGUGGGUAUAGGGUAAAGGAAUAGUUUAGAGUACCGUAGAAAUCACCAGAGAAAAUGGUACUUUUACCAGGGUUUUUCUUGCCAUAGGUCCAUUCUCUGGCAAAAUUGUCCCAGUGAGCAGUGUAAAACUGUGGAAAAGCUCCCCCUCCUACCAUGAAAGCUAAUGCAGGACAGUGACCAAUAUAGGAAAAGGUUUUGGGGUGUUUUUUUUUUUUCCAUUAGUCAGAGGAAAUCUGAAAUGCUUAUCUAGUUCUCUACACUUUUAGUGUCAGGCAUCUUUGAUAUCUGUAUAUCAUGUAGUUAUCAAAGUAUACUAAGUAGGUGAUAAUAAAAUGUCAUUUUACUCCACAUACUUCAAUGGCUCUAAAAUUCAGGUGUAUUUCUGCUUUGUGUUCCAAUUAACUGACCAAAUCUAUAUUUCAUUUAAUAGGUUCUAACUCUGUUUUCUUGAUUUCCAUUUUUUCUUGAUUUUCUUGAUUUCCAUUUUUCCCAAUUUCUGAUGAAUUCCAGUAUUCAUUUAAAUCUUACACGUGCCUAUAAAUUAUCCUUCACAUUUGUAGAAACCUUUUGCACUAUAUGACUACCUCUAGCCUUAAGAAGGAACCUUUAAAUCCAGGGGUGGGCAAACAAGGUUAAAUAGAUCUGUGAAACUACAGUGGUAGUUCUUUUAGAGAGUGAAUCGGGAUUUAGUGGUAGCCAUUGCUUCAAAUGGAGACUAAGAAAAAGAAUAGGCAUGUCUUAGCAUUAUUUUCUAUUUUUAAAUUUCCAUUUCCAAUCAGUUUUUAUAAUUCUUCUCUCAUUUUUUUCAUCAAUACUCUUUCACUCUACACUGAGGAAAUCCUUACUCUCCGAACGUCUUUAAACUAAAGAGUUGUUAAAGAGAUAGGACAAAGAACACAGAUUAGGACUUUGUGGAAGUAGGAAGGAAAUCUAGGAUGAGGGGAGAAAGAGAUAUGGCAGAAGGAGUGUAAAAAUGAUUAAGAUGUGAUUUUUAUGGAGUCUGCCAAAAAUGUAUGCACAGUUCAGCAGUUCACUAUGCUAAUAAAUGUCUGGAAGCUAAUGGCUACCACUUGGAGCACCUUUUGUAAUUGUAGAGGCCAAAGAUAACUUGUAUUAAUCUCAUGAUGUCUCAACAAGUUUAGCAUUAAAAUAUUUAUACAAGUUUUUCUAAUUCAUUUAUUUUUUGGCAGUCUGUAUGUGUACUAAUUCUGUAAGAUGAUUGUAAUUAUUAUAUAUUGAAAAAAUAUACUAAUAAAAUAUACUUUAAAAAAUGACUUCAAGAGUGAGAGUUUCGUGAUGUUUUCUGUUAUGUGAGCUUAGUACUUAAUGAGAGGGUUGGGAAGGAUAGGAGGGAGGUAAAGGGAAUGAAGUACCAUUCAUUCAAGCUUUAUCAUCUGUAGUAGUAGAAAGGAAAAGCCAGUGAGAAAAAGAUUAGAGAUGCAAAAGAAGAAGGAGUAGGGAUGUGUGUGUGUGUGUGUGUGUGUGUGUGUGUGUGUGUGUGUGAGAGAGAGAGAGAGAGAGAGAGAGAAAGUUGUGUUGAAUGAAGGUACUGGAUAAGUUUACUAAAACAAUGGGGUAGAGAACUAAAGUUAAGACAGAUAGCUCCAAUCUUAGUAAACUAAGACAUGUCAUCUGAUUUCAUUUGUUUAAUUUUUCAGAUAAUUCAAGUGAUUGACAGAAAAAUUUAUGUACUGGUUCAAGAAAGCUGACUGAAUGAACAUUUUAACAACUUUUAUCUUCUGAGCUGACCAAAUUUUCAUUGAAAUGACAGAAGAAAUAUAGAACAAUAAUAAAUUCAUAUCAACUUAGAAAAGAAGAGUGCCAUCAAAAAUGUGAAUUUCUGGAACAUAUAAAAAACAGUAUAAGAUAUAUGGCAUACCUCAAUAGAGUUGACUGUACAUCUCUAUAGAGAUAGUAAAGGUGCUCCAAAACAAAAGAACCUAUAAAUAAGUUCAAGAGAAAGAUUUGUGGGAAUUGCAAAGAAUAGGGCUGUCCCCCGGCUCACAGGCAUGAAAAGAGGUUGAAGAAUACCGCUCAGAACAUGUGCUAACCAUACAGGCCAGCUUGACAGUGUGUUCACCACCCAGUGAAUCAUUAAUUUUCAGCCUCAGAGCCAGGUAAACACUCUCUUUGUCUUUGUGUCUUCCCAAUUUAUUAAGAUGAGAACUCGUUUUCUAUUUGGCUCAGCAUUCAGUCCUUUGGUUAGUGGUUAUGAUCCUAGACAAUCACAGCGUCUUCAUAUGAGGGAGAAAACUAAUCACAACAGUUGUGACAUCCUGGGUAGUGUGGUACAAUUAGCAAUAACAACAGCAUCAUGUACAGCCUAGCAACUGACAGACUGUGGAAACUGUUAAUUUUAACCAUAACAGCAAAGUCUACAGUUGGAUAACGAAAUCCAGCCACAUACCAGGAUAUGUUUCCUAUUAGCAGAGUGAUUUUACCCAGAGUGUGGGGGGGUGGGGGUUAACGGGGAAAGGGAACAAAACAGAUUUAAGUAUGGAGAGAUAUAAUAAAAGUGAGGCUGUAGGGCAAAGGAUGAUCACCCAAUUUGGGGAAACUGGAGAAGAAUUCAGGGGAGAAAGAAUGAAAGAAAAAGCAAAAGGGCAGUUUUCCUUCUGUUAGUAACUGAGAAAGCUGACUGUAUGAAUUUGUCUUCUCCUUUAAGUUCUGUCAAUUAUUGCUUUACAUAGUUGAAGGAGUGUGAAAUCUAAAUUAAAAUAUUUUUAUCUUCCUAGUGAAUUCCCUUUUAUCACAUGUUCUACUUUAAUAAUAUGAUGAUAUAUUAGCCUUUUUAUUAUCUUUUCUAUGGCAUAUCUUUUUUCAUCUUAUUAUUUCUAACUUUAUCCUUAUGUUUAAAUAGUCCUUAAGGAUUUAAGUACUACCAAGUAAAAGCAUCUUGUUGAUUUUAAAAAUAAUUUGAAAAUAUUUGCUCUUUAAUUCAACUCCAACUACUUACUUGUGCUUAUACUAAUCAUGUAACUGUUUUCUGUUUGUCUCACUUGGUUUAUAGUUCUUUUUUUCCCUUUCAUUAUAUAAUUUAAAGUUAAUUAGAUCAAUCUUUUGCAAAUAGGUACUAUUUGAAAAUAUGUACUAUAAAAUUUUAAAAGUCAAUUUAAAUUAAAGAUACUUUAUUAUUCUGUUUCCCCAACCAUUUUUUGUUUGUUCAUUAAGUAUUCUUUCACUGUUUUACUGCAUAUCCUAAUGAGUACAGCGUACUGCCAAGACACACUGUCUUCACACUUUUACAUUUUCUAGGCGAUGCUAGGACCUUCGAUAUUUUGACUCCUUAUAAUGCCACUUUUUGUAUAAUUAUUAUCAAUCACUUUAAAUCUAUAUGUUUUAGUUCCCCCCAAAUAUAAUACUGUUGUAUAUAGUCAAUAAACAUUUGUUUAUAUGCAUUUUUAUUCAUAUUUAAUUCUUUCCGGAAUUUUUGUCUUUCAAUUUGGAAUCACUUUUCUUUGCCAGCAAAAUUCACCUUAUUAUUUAUUUUUGUGAGGAUAUACCAUUGGAAAUUUUACUGGAUUUUUGUUUUUUUGAAAAUUACUUUUUUUUUUUAAAUGUUCACUUGUGGAGAAUAUUGUGGUAGAUGUAAAAUUCUAGGAAAACAGGUUUCUUUUGACAGUUUGAAAAUAACAUUCCACCGUAUUAUCUCUAUUGAUCAUAAUAAUUAUUUCUAUAUCUUUGAAGGUAAUUCACUUUGUCUUUUAGCUAUUUUCACCUUUUUUCUUUGUUUUUUAUUUUUAGCAGGUUUCCUUGAUACCCUCGGCGUGGUUUUCUUCAUCACUAUGUCUUUCACUUUGAAUAUUCUUUGCCUUCCUCAAUUGCUUCUGUCCUAUUUUUUUCUCUCUCUCUGUCUUUUACCUCCUGAAACUCCUAUUAGACACGACUUCAGUAGUCCCUUGUUGAAGCUAGAAUUUUUAAAUAUUUCUAGCCUUUGUAUUCACCACAUUUUAGCAGAAAUAUCUUCUGAUGUUUCUUCCAGAUCAUGUCCUUCUCAGAUUCUUUGUGAAUUACUUACUAAGCUUAAACUUCAGUUCUUAUGCUUUCUUAGUUCUAGAAUUUUUAUUCUAUUUUUUAAAAAUUGUAACUCUUUAAAUUCUUCACUAUAUCUUUCAUUUGUAACGUAUUAAUCAUUGCUCUUCCUACCCAGCUGGAUAAUUUCAAUAAAUUAGUUGUCAAUUAAUUUGUGGAAAUUUUCUCCUACACUGUUUGUGUCAUACAUAUCUAUUUUUAUUGAUAGUAAAUACUGUCUUCAUUAAAGUGUAGUGACUCUGGAUAGAACUACUAUUCUUCAUGAACUCUGGUGAACAGAGUAUUGUCAGUUUACUUUUAUCUAAUUAUGGAUCUUGAACAGAUUUUGUAAAGCUCAUUGAACCCCCUUGUUUAUCUAUACAUUUCUAGUAUGUGCAAGGAUUCUCAAUUGAGAUUCUGGAAAUUUUAGUCAGGAUUGUUCCCCGUUGGAAAUUUGAGAACUCUUGUUUUUAUCUGUGUGCUACAUUAGGGUUUUUCUCUGAGACUGAGAAACUUUGCUCAGCACUUCACUGGUUUUCUGCCUAAUUUUUUAUCCUCACUUUGUAUAGUUAAAUUAUUCACAAAAUUAUCUCUGAUUCUUCAGUAGGAGAAAUGGGUUUUAGUUGGUGCUUUGCUUUGUUAGCCAGACUUCAGACUGUGUAUCAUUAAAGUGGUUAUUCCUGUUUGGAAUAGUCAUAAGAUUAUAAAAUUUAACGCUGGAAGGAACUGAAGACAUCAUCUUCUAUUGGCUAACCUCCCACACAGUGCAGAAAUGUUUCCUGCCGCAUCCUUGGCAUAUGCUCAUCCGGUCUCAAUUUGGAUAUCUUCAGCAAAGGAGCUCAUCAUUUCCUGAAACAAUCCAUUCUGUUGGACAACUCUAUUUUAAAAAUCCUUAUGUUGAGCUAAAAUAUGUCUUUUUGUAACUUAUACUCAUUUACUCAUUGUUUUAAGUUUUCCUUCUGGAGUAAGUCAAAACAAGAGAACAUUUCAGAUAGCUAUACUUAAAACAGAUCUAAAUGGCAUUCCUGUUUUCUCAUUUUCUCAUUCUCUCUCUCUCUUUCUCUCUCCCUCUCUCACACACACUUACACACAUUUAUGUGCAUAAACACACAUUUUUGUCUCAAAACAUCAAACACAAUUACUAAACAAAUUAAUAAUCUUAAGAAAUUGCUUUUAUUUGGUCAUUAUUAAAAUGCUAGUUUUAUACUAUGCGAACUUCUCUGACAGUUUGAAGACAAAUCUUUGUGUAAUUAUCGUAAAUCCUAUUUUUGGACAAAAAAGGAGUUUGAAGAUUUCCACUAUUUUUGGAAGUGACACUACAUAACCACUUGUGGAGCUGCAGAUAAAUUAAUCUUCAGUUGCCAAGAGGCAGAUGAAUUCUUAGCUUAUGCACGUUUGUUUUUUGUUUUAUUGAAACUUGCAUAUUAAAGCUUGUUUGAAUUAAUGAUAAUAAUCAUAUAGUAACUAAUAUUUAGUGAAUAUUUGCUAUGUAUAAUUAAAGUAUCUUGUCUUCAUUUUUGGACUGAACUUUUUGCUCAGUAAGAGGUCUCCUAACCCUUUAAGUGUAGUUUAUGAUUUAAACAGAGCACAGUAUCAGAGAAGUUUCUGUUAGCAAUCCUACUGAGGCUACCCUCAAACUAUGCAGACUACCCAGGCACACUAGGAGUAGGAGUCAUUCUUUGUUAAAGCUGAAAUUCUGUAUACAUAUUUUUAAAGAGCCAAAUAGCUCUAAAAUACACUCUUAAAAGUUUAUGUCCUGUCCUACUUAUGAUUUAAACUCACAACUACAUUUUAUCCCCUUUUUCUCUUUCAUGAUUUCAGCAUGUAGUUUUGAGUGCACAAAUUGCCAUUUUUUAAUAGCCUGUGAAAAACGAAAAAAAUCAACUUGCCUUAUUGCAUCUUUUCUCAGUUAAAAUGGUGGAAAGUUAUUGUGUGCAAGGCAAAAAUGCUGAACCUCAGACAGUCCCUUAAAAGUACUGAAGCUAUUGUCAAAAUAUGAGAAGAGGUAGAGUUUAAAUAAUCAGAGCCACUGUGAUUACAACUGUAAACUUUGCAAAGCUAGUUGAAAGACAGAAUGGGCAGCAUCUGGUGUCUGACUUUCAUUCUCAUUUAACUGGUCUGGAUUUGUAAUAUUUUCAAUGCUCAUUUUUCUUAGUUCAUGUUUUCAGUGUGUAAUGAUUACAUUUGUCAUGGGGAAUUGAUACACGUGUGUAACAUAUCUUAACUCUUUUUUAUCCCCUUUUUUUCCUUUCCUUCUCUGCUUCCUCCAUCUCUCAGUCUCCUUCCCUUUUGUAAUUUUUAAAUGUUGUCUAGGUGAUUUAAACAUAUGUGUAGGGUUCUGAGUUGCUGUGCUAAAUCUACUGUGACAUGGAACAAACCCAAGAAUUUUUCCUAUGCUCAAGAUUUAUAAUCACGAAGUUGGGCACAGGUAAAGUGCUGAUAGUUUAAAGGUACAUACAAUAGGAUCCCACAGAUUACAGAUAUUACUUUAAAAUCAGUAGAUUACUUGAUAUAUCUGGUUAGUUCUAAGACAACCUUUAGAAUCCUGCUUGUUAGAUCAAGGGUAGAGAGAAUUGCACUUUUCUUUUAAAAAAAAUCACUUACAUUAAAUCUUGUGUUCAUAAGAUAGAAUAUCAUUUUGUAGUAUUUUAUACUCUAGAAUUGCUUUGAAACAAUGAUUAAGUAAAUUUGAGGGGAAAUAUGUGCAUCUUCUUUCUUUUGUGAGAUGAAAAAAAUAAAGCAUAAAAAUACUGACUGUCCUCUGUUCCUGUCUUUGAUUUUUACAAACUAGUUUUAAAGCCAUUUCUAUUUGUUCUGUAUCUAAGGAAGCGAGUUUCACGCAACUGAUUUUCAUUUGAUAUAAUAUUAAAAUGGUUAUCAUACCAAAAUGC